UAAGAGGGACCUGAAGAAAAAGAGCC
This 26-nucleotide non-coding RNA is filed under the name Rattus norvegicus (Norway rat). Lineage: Eukaryota; Metazoa; Chordata; Mammalia; Rodentia; Muridae. The record is from RNAcentral.